This 800-nucleotide ribosomal RNA is filed under the name uncultured bacterium. RNAcentral's name for it is "bacterial SSU rRNA". It matches the Rfam family "Bacterial small subunit ribosomal RNA", at positions 336 to 1146 of the family's 1533-position model. The record is from RNAcentral.
CUCCUACGGGAGGCAGCAGUUGGGAAUCUUGCACAAUGGGGGAAACCCUGAUGCAGCGACGCCGCGUGGAGGAUGACGGAUCUAGGUCUGUAAACUCCUUUUUCAUGGAAAGACUUAGGACGGUACCAUGAGAAUAAGGACCGGCUAACUACGUGCCAGCAGCCGCGGUAAGACGUAGGGUCCAAGCGUUGUCCGGAUUUACUGGGCGUAAAGAGCGCGUAGGCGGUCUGUUAAGUGUGAAGUGAAAUCUCCAGGGCUCAACCCGGAAACUGCUUCGCAUACUGGCAGACUUGAGGAAUGCAGAGGUUUGUGGAAUUCCUGGUGUAGCGGUGAAAUGCGUUGAUAUCAGGAGGAACACCCAUGGCGAAGGCAGCAAACUGGGCAUUAUCUGACGCUGAGGCGCGAAAGCGUGGGUAGCAAACAGGAUUAGAUACCCUGGUAGUCCACGCCCUAAACGAUGGAUACUAGGCGUAAGAGGUAUCGACCCCUCUUGUGCCGCAGCAAACGCAUUAAGUAUCCCGCCUGGGGAGUACGGCCGCAAGGUUGAAACUCAAAUGAAUUGACGGGGACCCGCACAAGCGGUGGAGCAUGUGGAUUAAUUCGAUACUAACCGAAGAACCUUACCCAGGUUUGACAUCGAUUGUAAGCUCUAGAGAUAGGGCCCUCCCCCACAAGGGGACAUGAAGACACUUGUUGCAUGGCUGUCGUCAGCUCGUGCCGUGAGGUGUACGGUUAAGUCCGCCAACGAGCGCAACCCUCGUCCUGUGUUACCAGCGAGUAAAGUCGGGGAACUCACAGGA